UGGGGAAUAUUGGGCAAUGGGCGAAAGCCUGACCCAGCCAUGCCGCGUGAGUGAUGAAGGCCUUAGGGUUGUAAAGCUCUUUCAGGGGGGAAGAUAAUGACGGUACCCCCAGAAGAAGCUCCGGCUAACUUCGUGCCAGCAGCCGCGGUAAUACGAAGGGAGCAAGCGUUACUCGGAUUUACUGGGCGUAAAGGGUGCGUAGGCGGCCUGAUCAGUCAGAUGUGAAAGCCCAGGGCUUAACCCUGGAACUGCAUUUGAUACUGUCAGGCUUGAGUAUAAGAGAGGUAAGUGGAAUUCCCAGUGUAGCAGUGAAAUGCGUAGAUAUUGGGAGGAACAUCAGUGGCGAAGGCGACUUACUGGCUUAUAACUGACGCUGAGGCACGAAAGCGUGGGGAGCAAA
Molecule: ribosomal RNA, 400 nt
Filed under: uncultured bacterium
Lineage: Bacteria
Description: bacterial SSU rRNA
Rfam family: Bacterial small subunit ribosomal RNA
Source: RNAcentral